RNAcentral lists this ribosomal RNA (468 nucleotides) under uncultured bacterium. RNAcentral's name for it is "bacterial SSU rRNA". It matches the Rfam family "Bacterial small subunit ribosomal RNA", at positions 28 to 474 of the family's 1533-position model. The record is from RNAcentral.
AAUGAACGCUGGCGGCGUGCCUAACACAUGCAAGUUGAGCGGUAAGGCCCCUUCGGGGGUACACGAGCAGCGAACGGGAGAGUAACGCGUGGGUAACCUACCCAGAAGUGGGGGAUAGCCUCGGGAAACCGGGGGUAAUACCGCAUGUACUUCAGUCGGCACAAGUCGACUGUUGAAAAGGCGGGGAUCUUCGGACCUGUCGCUUCUGGAUGGGCCCGCGUCCGAUUAGCUAGUUGGUAGGGUAAUGGCCUACCAAGGCUUCGAUCGGUAGCCGGCCUGAGAGGGUGAACGGCCUCAUUGGGACUGAGACACGGCCCAGACUCCUACGGGAGGCAGCAGUGGGGAAUUUUGGGCAAUGGGCGCAAGCCUGACCCAGCGACGCCGCGUGGAGGAUGAAGGCCUUCGGGUUGUAAACUCCUGUCAGGUGGGAAGAAAUGCCCGUCGGUUAAUACCCGGCGGAAGUUGACG